UCCGGUUUGUCACCGGCGGUCUCCUUAGAGUUCCCACCAUUACGUGCUGGCAACUAAGGACAAGGGUUGCGCUCGUUGCGGGACUUAACCCAACAUCUCACGACACGAGCUGACGACAGCCAUGCAGCAUCUGUGCACCACCCUCGAAGGCGACCGCCUUUCAGCGGCGUGCAGGUGCAUGUCAAACCUGGGUAAGGUUCUGCGCGUUGCGUCGAAUUAAACCACAUGCUCCGCUGCUUGUGCGGGUCCCCGUCAAUUCCUUUGAGUUUUAGCUUUGCGGCCGUACUCCCCAGGCGGGGUGCUUAAUGCGUUAGCUUCGGCACGGAAGGGGUCGAUAUCCCCCCACACCUAGCACCCAUCGUUUACGGCUGGGACUAC
This 378-nucleotide unclassified non-coding RNA is filed under the name uncultured bacterium. Its description in RNAcentral is "contains 16S-23S intergenic spacer region". The record is from RNAcentral.